UCCGUAGGUGAACCUGCGGAAGGAUCAUUACCGAGUUGAUUCGGGCUCCGGCCCGAUCCUCCCACCCUUUGUGUACCUACCUCUGUUGCUUUGGCGGGCCGCGGUUCUCCGCGGCCGCCCCCCUCCCCGGGGGGUGGCCAGCGCCCGCCAGAGGACCAUCAAACUCCAGUCAGUAAACGAUGCAGUCUGAAAAACAUUUAAUAAACUAAAACUUUCAACAACGGAUCUCUUGGUUCUGGCAUCGAUGAAGAACGCAGCGAAAUGCGAUAAGUAAUGUGAAUUGCAGAAUUCAGUGAGUCAUCGAAUCUUUGAACGCACAUUGCGCCCUUUGGUAUUCCGAAGGGCAUGCCUGUUCGAGCGUCAUUACAACCCUCAAGCUCUGCUUGGUAUUGGGCACCGUCCUUUGCGGGCGCGCCUCAAAGACCUCGGCGGUGGCGUCUUGCCUCAAGCGUAGUAGAACAUACAUCUCGCUUCGGAGCGCAGGGCGUCGCCCGCCGGACGAACCUUCUGAACUUUUCUCAAGGUUGACCUCGGAUCAGGUAGGGAUACCCGCUGAACUUAAGCAUAUCAAUAAGCGGAGGA
RNAcentral lists this ribosomal RNA (582 nucleotides) under Botryosphaeria dothidea. Its description in RNAcentral is "eukaryotic LSU rRNA". The stretch from base 210 to 363 matches the Rfam family "5.8S ribosomal RNA". The record is from RNAcentral. Lineage: Eukaryota; Fungi; Ascomycota; Dothideomycetes; Botryosphaeriales; Botryosphaeriaceae.